CAGAAAGCAUGCAGACUCCUUAAGGGAAAGCCUCUUUUUAUCCAUUUUUGAAACUUGACAAAGCAAGAGACUUGUCCAGCCCAGCUUCCCCAUUCCUCCUGGCUCCAGAGGCUCAGAGACCUUGGCCACCGCCCCACCUGCCCAGGUCCUGCAGCAUUUCCACUGCUCAGCCAUGCUCCUGCUGCUCCUCCUGGUGCUUGAGGUGAUUUUUGCCCUUGGAGGAACCUGGGCCCAGAGAGUGACCCAGCCCGAUGGCCACAUCACUGUCUCUGAAGGAGACCCUCUGGAGCUGCGGUGCAACUAUUCCUCUUCUGUUUCACCGUAUCUCUUCUGGUAUGUGCAAUACCCCAACCAAGGACUCGAGCUUCUCCUGAAGUACACGUCUGGAAACAGCCUCGUCACAGGCAUCAAAAGUUUUAAGGCUGAGUUUAACAAGGGUGAAACCUCCUUUCACCUGAAGAAAGCCUCAGCCCAUUUGAGCGACUCUGCCCAGUACUUCUGUGCUGUGAGUGACACAGUGCCUGGGGCUGCAGGGGGAGCUGAACACAAACCUGCCGAGACACUGGGACUUCCUGUGACUCAAGAACUUAACCUGGGGAGUUUUCAAGAUCUCUUUUUCCUGUGCCUCCUGUGA
Non-coding RNA from Microcebus murinus (gray mouse lemur), 634 nucleotides. NCBI's taxonomy places the organism in Eukaryota, Metazoa, Chordata, Mammalia, Primates, Cheirogaleidae. The record is from the annotation of a RefSeq genome assembly.